GCCAGAAGAGGCGCGUCGCCCAGGUAGAGUGUCAGAGGAGCCGUUUUCCAAUGACGACGCUUGAGGGGGAGCGACGCCGAGGUAAGGUGAUGCGCGGCAUUCAUCGUAUCGACUACAGGGGCUGAAUCCCCUGGGUUGUCACCAGAAUUGUCCGUAAGGGCAAUCAACAAGGUGGGGCGCUUCUGGGU
Molecule: non-coding RNA, 188 nt
Filed under: Serratia liquefaciens
Lineage: Bacteria; Pseudomonadati; Pseudomonadota; Gammaproteobacteria; Enterobacterales; Yersiniaceae
Description: Lysine riboswitch
Rfam family: Lysine riboswitch aptamer
About the family: Riboswitches are metabolite binding domains within certain messenger RNAs that serve as precision sensors for their corresponding targets.
Source: RNAcentral